RNAcentral lists this ribosomal RNA (496 nucleotides) under uncultured bacterium. Its description in RNAcentral is "partial 16S ribosomal RNA". It matches the Rfam family "Bacterial small subunit ribosomal RNA", at positions 28 to 506 of the family's 1533-position model. The record is from RNAcentral.
GAUGAACGCUGGCGGCGUGCCUAAUACAUGCAAGUCGAGCGAACAGACGAGGAGCUUGCUCCUCUGACGUUAGCGGCGGAAGGGUGAGUAACACGUGGAUAACCUACCUAUAAGACUGGGAUAAAUUCGGGAAACCGGAGCUAAAACCGGAUAAUAUAUUGAACCGCAUGGUUCAAUAGUGAAAGACGGCUUUGCUGUCACUUAUAGAUGGACUCGCGCCGCAUUUGCUAGUUGGUAAGGUAACGGCUUACCAAGGCAACGAUUCGUCGCCGACCAGAGGGGGGGAUCGGCAACACUGGAACUGAGACCCGGCCCAGACUCCUACGGGAGGCAGCAGGAGGAAAUCUGCCGCAAUGGGCGAAGGCCUGACGGAGCAACGCCGCGUGAGUGAUGAAGGUCUUCGGAUCGUAAAACUCUGUUAUUAGGGAAGAACAAAUGUGUAAGUAACUAUGCGCGUAUGGACGGUACCUAAUCAGAAAGCCACGGCUAACUACGU